CCUACGGGAGGCAGCAGUGAGGAAUAUUGGUCAAUGGGCGCGAGCCUGAACCAGCCAAGUAGCGUGAAGGAUGACUGCCCUACGGGUUGUAAACUUCUUUUAUAAGGGAGUAAAGUGAGGCACGUGUGCCUUUUUGUAUGUACUGUAUGAAUAAGGAUCGGCUAACUCCGUGCCAGCAGCCGCGGUAAUACGGAGGAUUCGAGCGUUAUCCGGAUUUAUUGGGUUUAAAGGGAGCGUAGAUGGGUUGUUAAGUCAGUGGUGAAAGUCUGCGGCUCAACCGUAAAAUUGCAAUUGAUACUGUCCGUCUUGAGUACAGUUGAGGUAGGCGGAAUUCGUGGUGUAGCGGUGAAAUGCUUAGAGAUCACGCAGAACUCCGAUUGCGAAGGCAGCUUACUAAACUGCCACUGACAUUGAUGCUCGAAAGCGUGGGGAUCAAACAGGAUUAGAUACCCGAGUAGUC
This 460-nucleotide ribosomal RNA is filed under the name uncultured bacterium. RNAcentral's name for it is "partial 16S ribosomal RNA". It matches the Rfam family "Bacterial small subunit ribosomal RNA", at positions 338 to 795 of the family's 1533-position model. The record is from RNAcentral.